This 27-nucleotide non-coding RNA is filed under the name Rattus norvegicus (Norway rat). Lineage: Eukaryota; Metazoa; Chordata; Mammalia; Rodentia; Muridae. The record is from RNAcentral.
UCCAGACACUGGAAAGAUAAAGGGCUC